Molecule: RNA transcript, 3677 nt
Organism: Oncorhynchus tshawytscha (Chinook salmon)
Lineage: Eukaryota; Metazoa; Chordata; Actinopteri; Salmoniformes; Salmonidae
Gene name: DNA-binding death effector domain-containing protein 2
Exons: 6
Source: RefSeq, a predicted model, not a curated record
AUAACAUAUUAUCUAGCUUGUUGCAACGAUUAACAAUAUUAUAUUGACAAUGAAUAACCGCAUUUUUAGUCUUUACAUGUAUUUGAACGUCUUGAUUCAUCUUCAUGGUAUAGUCAGCUGUUGUUGUUGCUAGCUAGCGAUAAUUUCGUAGCUAACGUUAGCUAGCUAGCUACCCAAAUGGUUCAUCCAGCUGCAACUAAUUAUUUUGAUGUUUCCAUCUAGCUUACUAUCAAAUCGAGACAAAUGUAGCAAUGUAUGAGGGACCAUCUCUAUUUUUGACCGUUUUCAAGGGCUGUCAAUCUAAAUGUAAAGUGCCGUUUUUUUUUCUUCCAGCAGUGGAACGUCUGUUACGUAACGUAAUUUGUUGCACUGUCAACACAGUUUGAACUUGCAAGGCAUGGUGGCUCGGCGAGAUCUCGAGCUCUCCAACGUAGCCACAACGAAAACGAAGUAGCUUUGUGUUCACCGCCAAAUCGGUUAUUAUUAGACAGUUGGUUGCAUUUUAAAGCCUGUAACAGUGCAUGUCAAUAUCUCGUGGUCCAUUCGCGUUGUGGCUGCUGGCUGGCUUGUUAUUUGAUAACCUGAUAAACCUAGCCAGUCCUGUUGUUUAGUUUGACAUUUUGAGUCGUUACUUCAUUGCUACCCACAUUGUCUAAUUAACUUUAUUCUUAUCACAAUGGCCUAGGUGCAUUGGGAAAGGAUAGCCAGCUAGCUUGUUAACAAUGGCAACCAUGCGUCGUCCAAGGUACUCUCUCCGAGACUCUCUGUACUGGGACGAGACUGAGUGCCUGACGUACUAUGGGAUGCUCUCUCUACACGAGAUGUUUGAAGUUGUCGGUUCUCAACUGACAGAGACAGACGUUGAGGUGCUGUCGUUCCUCUUGGAUGAGACCUAUCCGGCCGGAGGGCACCCCUUGGACCCAGCUGGCUGGACCAGCGAGCCCGGUGAGGAAGACCCCGAGGCCAGUAAAGGAGUCUCCCCCAGCCCAGUGCUCCUGGAGGCCUGGCGGCGGUUACAGCCCAAGGUUCCUGCUUUGGCCUGCCCUACCGCUGCCCGCCACAAGCCCAAGAGUGGGCUAGAACUGCUGCUGGAGCUGGAGAGACGUGGGUACCUCAGUGAGGGUAACCUGGAGCCCCUGUUGCAGCUGCUGCGAGUCCUGACGCGACACGACCUCCUGCCUUUGGUGUCCCGCAAGAAAAGGAGGACAGUAUCACCAGAACGUUUCAGAGUGGACUACGGGACAGAGGACAAAAGACAGGUGUGCACAUCUGGACUGACUGACCCCUGUGCACAGACAGAAUCACAUGACGAACACGCCACACAGCAAUGGAGGGGGGGUGUUGACUCUGCCAGGCCAACGCCCGCCCCCCUACGGAAGAAGAGGGGUAAAGGCCGCCGCUGGACCAGCAAGCCCACUGCCCACAGGAGAAGAACGGGCAUCCCUGAAACUCCUCCCCCACCUAUAUCUGAGAAAGUGACCUGCGACAUUCGUCUGCGUGUGCGAGCAGAAUACUGGGAGCAUGAGUCGGCUCUGCGCGGCAGCGUCUCCUCGGACAAGCAGCAGCCCCUGGAGCGGCAGUUUGAGCUGUUCAGUCGUGCCACCUCCGUGCUGCGCGCCCGCGACCUGGGCUCCAUCAUCUGUGACAUCAAGUUCUCUGAGCUGGACAACCUGGAGGCCUUCUGGGGGGACUAUCUGAGUGGAGCGCUGCUAGAGGCCCUGAAGGGGGUGUUCAUCACAGACUCUCUGCGGAGGGCGGCGGGGAGUGAGGGGGUCCGGCUGCUGAUCAGUGUGGACCAGGAUGACUACGAGGAGGGUCGCAGACUGCUGCUGGACGCACAGGAACAACAGGCCGGCUGCUGGGGACGAGACAGGCAUCAGAGCCAUAUACACUACCUGGUCUCACGUUGUCAUACUCCCUAGACCCAACCUGAGAAAGCUGGUUAUGGACGUUCGGCUCUGACAGACAGACAGGCAGCUGUGCGAGGUCAUGAGCCCAAGGAUAGAGGAAUGAAAAGGAGAAUAAAAUAUGAAGAGGAACAUUUUUAUUUUUUCUCUCCUUUUUAAGUCUCUCAUGCUGAGAAAAGAGGAUACAGCCACUCCUAGGUCAGGGGAAUGAAUAGUCUCCAGGGAAAACAGCCAAACUUGGAGCAAAGGCAAACUGGACUAAAAGACUUGACACACUGUUCUGUUUGGAAUUGAUAACACAAGUUGUACUGAGCCUAGAUGCCCUCAGGGCACUGAGGAAGAGACUGCCUUUGUUACACACACACACACACACACACACACACACACACAGAGACAAACUAAACUUCCACUGUAGCACACACACACACAAACUACCACUGUAUCUAACAUAAACACUCUUAAAAUCAUCCACACGAUGAACCAUCAGCGCUGCCUGUAAGACUCAUUGAAGCCAAGAGACAUUUCUUGCUAACAGUGACAGCCCAGAUCCAAACUAGACUGUGCGCUAAUGCUGAGCAUCUCUGGUUAUGUUUGAGGAGCGCGUGAGAUGCCCUGCAAGGCGAACUUCACCCAUCUUAAUAUUAGUUUGUGUUUCCAUUGAAAUGUAUGAUUUUGAAAAGAUGAGCGAGACUGCAGCUCUCAGACAACGAGGGAGAGAUGAUGGGGAAAUUACUAAAGAUUAUGUUUUGACCUUUUGGGAGAGAUUUAGAAAUAGAUAGCGAAGGGAAGACUACCUGAGGACAGUGUAGUGGACAAAUAGCUGGUCCUUCGAGAACUCCAGUCCACACACACACCAUGAUCACAAGCCACUGGUAGUCCCAUCAUGCUAACCCAGGGCCUGACAGCUGUGGUCAGUGGCCAUCUCAUCUCAGAUGCCAGUAGAUGAUAGGAGUGAUUACCUCUCAACCUCAGCCAACCAUGGAGAACUCAUCACCACAAGUUGUUGAACAGCAGCUGGGAUCACACACUAGGCUGUGCUCACCCCGGCUUCCAGCAAGGCAAGGCCACUGCCUUUCCCAUUGGAACUGAAGCACAGGACAGGGCUUCAGUCAAUAAAACUGAUGUGGAGGAGAUCAAUAUCAGAAGGAUACAUCCUAGUUCCACUCAGCCCUGACUUGUAGGCCCCACUGGUGGCUCACAGAGCGUUGUCUGUCUCUAGUCUAGUCACCCUGGUGGAACUAAUGCCUGAACUCCUCUGAGUGGGAUCAAUAACCCCCUCUGUCUCUCCACCACCACCAUGGGAGGAGAAAGAGUAAGGGGGAGAGGUAGGAGAAGGGGAAAGAGAGGAGAGGUAGAAGGAAAGAGAGAAGAAUCCCCACCUCCAUCCCGCCUUUCAGCUCCUGGACAGCCACCUCAUCCUCUGGAGGAUAAGUCCCCUGAUACAACCAGGCUGCCUGGUCUGCUACAGCACUGUGUCUGGUUCACACAGCCCUAUGGGACCAGGGAUGGAGGACUAGAGGCACUCAGGAAAACCUUAGUAGUUUGCUUUUUCUGUGUUUUGAUAUAUGGAUUCGUUAGUGUAGCUUUGUAUUGUCCAUAAGAGAAAAUAACAAAAAUACUGUGUGUUGUAGUUCAUUAACUUAGGGUGAACUUUUGUUUAAGUAUCUGGAUAUUUUUAUUUAGGCACUGCAAAAGUGCUGUAUAUUAGUUUAAUAUAUCAGUGGAAAGUUGGAAUUAUUUCAAAUAAAAAUAAAUGAUUUAUCAAAGGUU